This 2296-nucleotide long non-coding RNA is filed under the name Homo sapiens (human). Its description in RNAcentral is "HSALNT0261254". The record is from RNAcentral. Lineage: Eukaryota; Metazoa; Chordata; Mammalia; Primates; Hominidae.
GCGGCGCCGGGCGGCAGAGGAGGGGCCGGGGGAUCCUGCCUUGCACUCGCGUGCCGGGACCUUGGAAGCCAGGCCUGGCUCGUUCAACGCGGCCGCCUUGGUCACAGGAGUCCCAGUUUCCAGCUGCCUCCUCCUUUGGACCUAGCAGUCCAGGCCCCCAGCCCCUCCUCCCUUCAGACCCAGGAGUCCAGGCAUCCGGCCCCUCCUCCCUCAGACCCAGGACUUGCGACCCCAGCCACCUCUCCCCCCAGCCCCAGGCGCCUGAGUACUAAGCCCACAGUUCCCCCCACCACCUCCCAACCCCGCCCCGUCUCAGACUCAGGAGUCCAGCCCCCAGCCUCCUCCUCCAUUAGCCCCAGGAGUCUGGGCCUGAGAUUCCUUUGCCGUCUUUUGCCAAUUGCGUGUCAAUCCCGGGGCAGAUUCCCACCCUCUGCUCUCCUCCCCACUUCCCAGGAGCUCCACGCCAGACAUUAACCAGCUGGGCUUGGGCAGUGAUAAGGCCCCAGGCCCGGGGAGACAGUGGAUGUGGGGGCUCCCGCAUACUCCUCUCCCCUGGAAUUUCCUGGCUGGGGACCGGGGAGAAGGUCUUGUCCUGAGCUCAGAUAAGAGACGUGCAAGGUAUCAUAGGACCAGAGAUAGACAGAUGUGUCUUAAGAACAAUCAGCUACCUUGAGAAAUGGUGCGCGGUGACAUGAAGGGAGAGAUAGGGAGAAGACAUGGAAAAGUGGGGAGAGACCAAAAGAAAGAGGGGGACCGAGACUAGAGAGAGUGGGGGAGGGCAGGAGCCCAGAGAGAAGACAGAGGCCCAGAGAGCGUGAGGGCAGACCCCCCCACCCCCCCGAGAAGGGGACAGAGCCCCUGAGAGACCCUGAGAAAGACAGGGAUGGGACCGGAGCCGGAGUGUCUCAGGACAGUCAUGAGGGCAGCGGGGCUCCUCACCCCACCACACCUCUACCCUGAGACUCCGCUCCCCUCCGCCUGCGCUAUUUUCAGAAGGAAAACUGACACCUGCCUCGAGGGUCAUCCCACACCCCCUCAGCCUAAAUAUAGCAUGGCAAGGUGGCAGGAGGGUGUCCCCGGUUAGGGUGUUUCCUGCUCCUCACCAUCCCAGCCAAGGCAACACACAAGGCCGCUCCAGUUAUUUAUUGGGGGUGGGGGGAAGGGCCACUUCCCAGGCUUUGGGUGUGCAUUCAGGUCACCUCUCCGGCUUCUCCACCCUUCCCCUGUUCCUAAACAGCCAAUACAUCCUGCCGCAUAGCAGGAGGACUCUAGCUUCUAGCUUCUAGCUUCUAGUCCUGGAGGGGAUAGUAGGGAUGAGGUUUCCAAACAGAGUGACUGGGAAACAGUCUCUGUCCCCCUAUCUCCAGGUCUCUGUUCCCCUCCCUCUGGAUUUCUGUCUCCCUCCAACUCUGGGUCUGUCCUUCUCUCUCUGAGUCUCUGUCCCCCUCUCUCUCUGGGUCUCUGUCCCUCUCUCUCUGGGUCUCUGUCCCCCUCUCUCUCUGGGUCUCUGUCCCCUUCUGUCUGUGGGUCUCUGUCCCUCUCUCUCUGGGUCUCUGUCCCCCUCUCUCUCUGGGUCUCUGUCCCCUUCACUCUCUGGGUCUCUGUCUCUCUCUCUGUCUCUGGAUCUCUGUCCCCCCUCUCUCUGGGUCUCUGUUCCCCCCCAGGUCUCUGUCCCCCCUUCUCUCUGGGUCUCUGUCCCCCUCUUUCUAGGUCCCAGUUUUCUUCUCUCUGGAUAUCUGUCCACCCUCUCUGGGUCCCAGUCUCCUUCUUGCUGAGCCUCUUGCAUCCUCUCUCUUGGGGUCACUGUCUGCUUCUCUUUCCCCUCGUGGGGGUCUCUGUGCUGGAGUCCAACCUGUCUCUUGUCACUGUGAGGUCCGUCUCCAUUCUGUCCCUAAAUCUGGCUUUCUCUCCAUUUCAGAGAGAAGUGACUACCUAAAGCUUCUAUUAAUUUCAACCAUUAUCAAACUCCUCUCACCAUCUGUACCUUCUCUUUAGCUGUAUGAAAAGGUGCUCAGAUGAAACCAGGGGUUUCCACACUGAAUUCCUGAGCUGCAUUUUGAGUUGCCAAGAGGAGGCGUGUUCUCCUCCAACCAGUUCCCUUCCCAUGCUUCCCACUGGUGUCUCUAAGGAAGAUUUAUUUGACCCAAAAAAGGGGUGGGUAUGGCUAAAAAUAACAACAACAGUCUGUAAACCACUGGAUAGGUUUUAAUAAAUUAACCCAAGUAAAGUACUUUGAUACCAAAGGAAGCCCUAUAUGUGUUAGUGAUUUCAGCCUUCUUCCUCUAAAUGCCCUUUG